Molecule: ribosomal RNA, 253 nt
Filed under: uncultured bacterium
Lineage: Bacteria
Description: partial 16S ribosomal RNA
Rfam family: Bacterial small subunit ribosomal RNA
Source: RNAcentral
UACGAAGGGUGCAAGCGUUAGUCGGAAUUACUGGGCGUAAAGGGCGCGUAGGCGGCCUUCUAAGUCGAACGUGAAAUCCCCGGGCUCAACCCGGGAACUGCGUCCGAUACUGGAAGGCUUGAAUCCGGGAGAGGGAUGCGGAAUUCCGGGUGUAGCGGUGGAAUGCGUAGAGAUCCGGAAGAACACCGGUGGCGAAGGCGGGUCUCUGGGCCGAUACUGACGCUGAGGAGCGAAAGCGUGGGGAGCGAACAGG